Molecule: ribosomal RNA, 506 nt
Filed under: uncultured bacterium
Lineage: Bacteria
Description: partial 16S ribosomal RNA
Rfam family: Bacterial small subunit ribosomal RNA
Source: RNAcentral
AGUGAACGCUGGCGGUAGGCCUAACACAUGCAAGUCGAACGGCAGCACAGGAGAGCUUGCUCUCUGGGUGGCGAGUGGCGGACGGGUGAGGAAUACAUCGGAAUCUACUCUGUCGUGGGGGACAACGUAGGGAAACUUACGCUAAUACCGCAUACGACCUACGGGUGAAAGCAGGGGACCUUCGGGCCUUGCGCGAUUGAAUGAGCCGAUGUCGGAUUAGCUAGUUGGCGGGGUAAAGGCCAACCAAGGCGACGAUCCGUAGCUGGUCUGGGAGGUUAGACAAUCACACUUGGACUUAGACACUGGUCAGAUUUCUACGGGAUGAAGGAGGUGGGAAUAUGGGACAAUUGGUCCAAGCCAUAUCCAGACAUACCGCGUGGGUGAAGAAGGCCUUCGAGUUGUAAAGCCCUUUUGUUGGGAAAGAAAUCCAGCUGGAUAAUACCCGGUUGGGAUGACGGUACCCAAAGAAUAAGCACCGGCUAACUUCGUGCCAGCCGCCGCAGUAA